Molecule: ribosomal RNA, 466 nt
Filed under: uncultured bacterium
Lineage: Bacteria
Description: partial 16S ribosomal RNA
Rfam family: Bacterial small subunit ribosomal RNA
Source: RNAcentral
GACGAACGCUGGCGGCGUGCUUAACACAUGCAAGUCGAACGGAAAGGCCCUGCUUGCAGGGUACUCGAGUGGCGAACGGGUGAGUAACACGUGGGUGAUCUGCCCUGCACUUCGGGAUAAGCCUGGGAAACUGGGUCUAAUACCGGAUAGGAGCCAUUUUUAGUGUGAUGGUUGGAAAGUUUUUUUCGGUGUAGGAUGAGCUCGCGGCCUAUCAGCUUGUUGGUGGGGUAAUGGCCUACCAAGGCGGCGACGGGUAGCCGGCCUGAGAGGGUGGACAGCCACAUUGUGACUGAGAUACGGCCCAGACUCCUACGGGAGGCAGCAGUGGGGAAUAUUGCACAAUGGGCGCAAGCCUGAUGCAGCGACGCCGCGUGGGGGAUGACGGCCUUCGGGUUGUAAACUCCUUUCGCUAGGGACGAAGCUUUUUGUGACGGUACCUAGAUAAGAAGCACCGGCUAACUACGUG